RNAcentral lists this ribosomal RNA (253 nucleotides) under uncultured bacterium. RNAcentral's name for it is "partial 16S ribosomal RNA". It matches the Rfam family "Bacterial small subunit ribosomal RNA", at positions 524 to 776 of the family's 1533-position model. The record is from RNAcentral.
GACAGAGGAGCCAAGCGUUGUUCGGAAUUACUGGGCGUAAAGCGCGCGUAGGCGGUGAUCUUUGUCAGAGGUGAAAGCCUGGGGCUCAACUCCAGAAUUGCCUUUGAAACGGGAUCGCUUGAGUCCGAGAGAGGAUGGCGGAAUUCCUAGUGUAGAGGUGAAAUUCGUAGAUAUUAGGAAGAACACCGGUGGCGAAGGCGGCCAUCUGGCUCGGUACUGACGCUCAGGCGCGAAAGCGUGGGGAGCAAACAGG